CUUAGAUUCGCCCAUAGUUCUUUCCUUUACACUUCACAUAUAAUCCCAAUGAAAACUCAGUUGGCUCCAAUUCAAAAUACACCCAGAAUCUGACCACUUUUCACUACUUCCAUCACUACAUCCCGAGUCCAAACUUUGUCUCUCACCGCACAGAAGUCUCCUGUCUGGCCUCCUGCUUUUUUGUCCUUGCCUCCCCUUCCAUCUACACUAACACCAUAGCAGGCUCAACACAUGAUCCUGUGAAAAAAGUAAGUCAAAUUAUGACACUUCUCUGCUCAAAACUCCCCCAGAGGCUUCUCAUUUUACAGAGUAAACCAGUCCUCUCACCCGGCUCUGGGGUCCUGCCCCCUCCCGCUCUACUGCCCUGCUCACUGUGCCAGCCACACAUGUGGGCCCCCUCACUGUUGCUGGAACACUCGAAACCCAUGCUGGCCACUGGUUGUCGUCUGCCUCUUCCGACUAGAAUGAAUGCUCCAUGAAGGCAGAAGUGUGGUCUUGUUUUGGAUCUACAUCUUUGUUGAUUUGAUUUGAUGCAGAAAACCUGAGCCUUUCGCCUCAAGAUCAGGAAGAUAGAGAAGAGCAAGUGGAGAAUGAUAAUCCGGGAAUGAAGCUGAGUACAGAAGCAAUACCUUCAAUCAAUUAGAAUACAUUCUUCAGGAGGCCAGAGAAUGGAGACUCAAUCAUUAACACCAGAAAAGAAAAACGACUGAGUUCUUAUGUCUAAAACCUGCACGUGACAGAGUCAUAACAGCAAUGCUAGGAAGACGCUCUUUCUCAGCGAUGUUGGGGAAAUUAGAGAAAACAAGCAAAAGGAGGAUCGCACUGAGAACAGGAAAGCUCUAUUUUAGGUUGCUUUUUUUCUUUUAAGAGAAAAUUACCUGUUUUGAGAUCGCCAAGUAAUGCUGAACAGUAAGUAAUAAGCUAGGCUAACAGGAGACAGAAUAAAUACCAAAAAGUACC
Molecule: long non-coding RNA, 960 nt
Organism: Rhinolophus ferrumequinum (greater horseshoe bat)
Lineage: Eukaryota; Metazoa; Chordata; Mammalia; Chiroptera; Rhinolophidae
Exons: 3
Source: RefSeq, a predicted model, not a curated record